Molecule: long non-coding RNA, 1105 nt
Filed under: Homo sapiens (human)
Lineage: Eukaryota; Metazoa; Chordata; Mammalia; Primates; Hominidae
Description: HSALNT0301418
Source: RNAcentral
GCAGAGCAUUUUGUACGUGGCCGGUGCUGUGGUAUGAGUGCCAUUGUGAGCUCACAACACUUUAGGGGGCCACAGAACCCCAAGCAUUAUACUUUAGUCUUUCCUUUCUACCUUUCUGCCUCUCUCAGUAAAGGCUGUUAUUAAGUAACAAAUUCGGGUGGGUCAAGGGCAGAGUAACCAAGAGAUCUCAGCAAGCAUGAGGGAGAUUCAAGGAGCUGGCAUUGUGUGACUGGGGACAGAAAAGCCCUCAUGCAGGCAGGCGGGUCACAAUUGUUCCCUUCAGAUUUCUGAGGGGCUGCCUUGGUGGGAGAGGGGGUAGUUCAGUUCUGUGGGGCUCCAGGGGGCAAAAGGCAUGAUAAAUGAGUAGAAGUCAUGGAGAGGUGGAGCUUGCCUCCAGACAGAAUGCUAAGAAGGAUGCUGCUGCACAGUGGGGACUGAGCCAACUCACUGUUCAACAAAUAAGCAUUGGAGGGUCUCUAGUUCCAUAGAAAGAAGGCAAAUGAAGAGGACAGAAGAAGGAGAGAGACCUUCCCACCCCAUCAGCCCUAUGCUGCAGAGAGGGAUCCCACAUCUACUUCUCUUGCAGAAACCAACUGGUGGAAGUGACCUUCUCAUGGAGUGUCCUUCACAACUCCUACUCAGUCAGCACACUGGAAGACUUCAAAACUUAUUUGCUGAACAAAAGGGGAGUGGGCUCAAUCCUCUAACUCUUUACCACUCAAAAUGUGGUCCAGGGACCAGCUGUAGCCUCAUCACCUAUGAAUCUGUAAAAUGUGUGGAAUCUCAGGCCUUGCCCCAACCCACUGAAUCAGAAUCUGCAUUUUUAAGAGGCUCCCCUAGUGACUCCUGUGCACCUUAAAUCUGGAGAAGCACUGUUCUAACCAACCCCCUUCUUGGGCUGUAGCCAGUUAUUUCAUUGGCUGGAUGGCCAAAUCGCGCUGUGGGUAGGUCAAUCAAUCCUGCAACAUUUGGCAAUUAUGACACCUGAUUCCACUCUAAGAGAGACAAAUUGGUACAGUCAUGGAGCUGUGACCUCAGCAGCAGCUGUGGGAGCUGCCAAGUAUAAACUCCAGGCCAAAUGACACUACUUCUUUUCCUUCCUGCG